CACCCGAAGCCCAUGGCCCAACCCUUGUGGGGGGAGUGGUCGAAGGUGGGACUGGCGAUUGGGACGAAGUCGUAACAAGGUAGCCGUACCGGAAGGUGCGGCUGGAUCACCUCCUUUCUAAGGAGCA
This 127-nucleotide ribosomal RNA is filed under the name Saccharopolyspora hirsuta. RNAcentral describes it as "partial 16S ribosomal RNA". It matches the Rfam family "Bacterial small subunit ribosomal RNA", at positions 1418 to 1533 of the family's 1533-position model. Lineage: Bacteria; Bacillati; Actinomycetota; Actinomycetes; Pseudonocardiales; Pseudonocardiaceae. The record is from RNAcentral.